UACUGCACUAAGCAUUGUAGAUUUUAAAAAAUAAUAAAUUUAAAAAUAAACAUAAUAAAUAAAAAUUUUAAUAAUAACUGUCCCUGUUGUCAAGGAGCUCAUAAUCUUGGGGGAGACAACAUGAUCUGAAUGAAUCCAGAGAAGCCAGGAGGUAGAAAUGACAUGCCUUGGAGAUAUUCUCCCAACCUCCAAUUACAAUGGCUGGAAGUGCAGAGACUAUUCAUGGACCCAUGAUCACAAGGACUUUGACCUGCUCCACUUUUGACUUGAGCUGGUCUGCCCUCUGAUAUGAUGGGACCACCACAUCGAUGCUGAAUUUAGAGAAGACACCCAAUCAGCAUAGCCUACUACAUCUCUGAACAUUCACUCUGAAGAUUUGCCAGCCUCAGGCUUCCUGGUAGCUGGGAUUACAAGCAUGGAAAGUGCAGAAGUGGUAGAGCCUGGGACCCAGGAGCUCAAGCCUUGAUGUCCUUGGAGUUAAUUUUCCAGAUUCAAUGUUGCUGCCAGGAAGCCCUAAGAAGCCAAAGGCACAAGGACACAAGCCUGGGAGUCUUUGGAUCUGGAACUUGAUGAGACCAUGCUAUGUAGGAACUGAGUGAAGCUAUGAACUCUCCAGAGACCCAACUUUCCCCAGAGACUAAGGGAAUACAGGAAAAAUUAUUCCUUCCCAGAGCAGGGCAGAAGAGGGAAAAUGAUUAUAUAUUUAUUCUUAUUAAACCUUUGAAGUAGCUAUUCCUUCGGAAAAGCAAAUCAGGUUGUUAGUGGCUAAAUUCAGGAAACUCCUAAAGUUGGAGGAACACAAUAAGAGGGAUCUUGAGUCAGUGGUGGACUGGAUGCCCUCAAACUCCCUUAAUGGUACUGGAAAACUCCAGAAGAAGGGUAAAAUGCAACAGAACUUUUUCCCAGGCAAUGGAGACCAGAUAAGUCAUUAUUAUACCAACAGUACCUUUCCCUUUUCCUCUAAACUACCUUUGCAGUCUUAUGUCACACUAUUCCAAUUUCUUGUAAUCUUUGAGCUAUUCAAAAUAGUGUACUCACCACCUACAAACAAGCCCUAUGUUUUCCUACUUCCAUUAUGUAGAAUUUUAAUGUUUACAAAAUGCUUUCCUUAACCUUUGAAAUAAAUAGGUAAGUAUAAUUUUUUUUAUCCCUAUCAUGUGAAGAUAAGAAAUCUGAGGUUAAUAUAAUGAUGCUAAGUGACUCUCACGAGCUCCUGUGGAAAUGGGUGGUCAUUGCCUUGAUUAGUUACUAAAUCUUCCAGAGUUGAUUAUCUUUUCAAUAUUCUGUAUACAUUAUUUUCCUGAUUCAGCUCAGUUCACUUUGCAUCAGUUCAUACAAGUUUUCUCCAGGUUUUUCGGAAAUAAUCACUUUUAUGAUUUCUUACAGCACAAUAGUAUUUCAUCAUAUUCGUAUACUAUAACUUGUUCAGACAUUCUCUAAUCAAUGAGCAUUCCUUCAUUUUUCCUUUCUUAACUACCUUCACACCUCUUUCUUUGAUCUUUUUAGGGUAUAUACCUAAUAGUAGUAUCUCUGAAUCAAAGGGAAUGUACAGUGUGAAACUGUGCCUUGGAAUUAUUGUAAUUUGCAUUCUCUAAUUAUUAGUGACUUGGUGAAUUUUUUGAUACAACUUUUUAGAAACAAUAUUGAUAAUAACAUGUUGAAUUUGUUAUAUUUUUUAAAAAGCAACCUGGAUGUAAUAAAUAUUUUUUAUUUCA
Molecule: non-coding RNA, 1715 nt
Organism: Monodelphis domestica (gray short-tailed opossum)
Lineage: Eukaryota; Metazoa; Chordata; Mammalia; Didelphimorphia; Didelphidae
Source: RefSeq, a predicted model, not a curated record